CUGUGGUUGUGGCUCAGUGGUACAGUGCUUGCCUAUCAUGUAUGGGGCACUGGGUUCAAUCCCUAGUACCAUAUA
Molecule: transfer RNA, 75 nt
Filed under: Marmota monax (woodchuck)
Lineage: Eukaryota; Metazoa; Chordata; Mammalia; Rodentia; Sciuridae
Description: tRNA.Asp
Rfam family: tRNA
About the family: Transfer RNA (tRNA) molecules are approximately 80 nucleotides in length.
Source: RNAcentral